GCAGAGGUCUAAAGGAUGUUGUGCGAAAAAUGCAAAGCUUGUGGACUAUUGUAGAAUUUGACGAUUCCUAUACUAUAGACAUUGCAAUGAUGGAAAUGAUCGUGAAAAAUAAUCAGCUUGUAUGUCUCAAUCUAAGUAACCAAAAUAUUACUUUUGGGUCACACAGAUUUACCAAAUUGAUGCUAAAGCUUACUCCUACUAUUCAAGAAUUGUAUGUAGCAGAAACACCGCUAAACAAUCUUGCAUUUGUAAUGUCCUUGCGAAAUUUAACCACCCUUGAUAUAAGUGGGAC
This 292-nucleotide long non-coding RNA is filed under the name Mytilus galloprovincialis (Mediterranean mussel). The record is from RNAcentral. Lineage: Eukaryota; Metazoa; Mollusca; Bivalvia; Mytilida; Mytilidae.